UACGUAGGGUGCGAGCGUUAAUCGGAAUUACUGGGCGUAAAGCGUGCGCAGGCGGUUCGUUAAGUUCGUCGUGAAAGCCCCGGGCUCAACCUGGGAAUGGCGAUGGAAACUGGCGGGCUGGAGUGCGGCAGAGGGGGGGUGGGAAUUCCACGUGUAGCAGUGAAAUGCGUAGAUAUGCGGAGGAACACCGAUGGCGCAGGCAAUCCCCUGGGCCUGCACUGACGCUCAUGCACGAAAGCGUGGGGAGCAAACAGG
RNAcentral lists this ribosomal RNA (255 nucleotides) under uncultured bacterium. RNAcentral describes it as "partial 16S ribosomal RNA". It matches the Rfam family "Bacterial small subunit ribosomal RNA", at positions 524 to 776 of the family's 1533-position model. The record is from RNAcentral.